CUCCUGAAUGUAUAUUUUUUCCUCUUUUUGGAUUAACCUUUAUGGCCCCUCUCAAUCUUCUUGUAGAAAAGUUUUUAAAUCCUCAUCAUUUUGGUCCAUCUUUGGUCUUGCUCUCUUAUAUUUUUGUUUCAUUUCUGUUGCUGAGAUCUCAGUUGGUUCUUUUUCAUCUUCGCGAAGAUGAGAAUAUCUGCAAUUGUCAAAAAAAGUGCAUGUCCCACUUUGCAAGAAAUCGUUUACUGGCUUCUUGUUUUAGUUUCUUCAACACAGAAGUAUUUCUGGUCAGGAAUGAUCGUAAUGCUGUUUUCUGUUCCUUUGGUGAUGUGUGUCCAUUCAUGUGAUUUUUUUCUUGCUACUGGG
This 357-nucleotide long non-coding RNA is filed under the name Mytilus galloprovincialis (Mediterranean mussel). Lineage: Eukaryota; Metazoa; Mollusca; Bivalvia; Mytilida; Mytilidae. The record is from RNAcentral.